RNAcentral lists this ribosomal RNA (534 nucleotides) under uncultured eukaryote. RNAcentral describes it as "SSU rRNA". It matches the Rfam family "Eukaryotic small subunit ribosomal RNA", at positions 459 to 1029 of the family's 1831-position model. The record is from RNAcentral.
GGAAGGUAGUUACAGGAAAUUUGUUGCAUGGGGUUCUACCCCAGACACAAACGAACACAUGUAAGUAUUGUGUGUUUAAUUGGAGGGCAAGUUUUGGUGCCAGCAGCCGCGGUAAUUCCAACUCCAAGAGUGUAUCUUAAUGUUGCUGCAGUUAAAAAGCUCGUAGUUGAACUUCUGGCUAGUGGAGGUCCCCCGGGAUCAUUCGCUAGUCAUCCGCUCGGAGAAGCAGUAUUUCCUUUACUGGUUUUACUGUAGACCCAGCAUUUUACUUUGAAGAAAUUAGAGUGUUCCUGGCAGGCUUAGCUUGCAUAUAUUAGCAUGGAAUAAUGGAAUAGGACCUUGUCUGUUUUAUUGGUUGACAGAUAGGUAAUGAUUAACAGGGACAGUCGGGGGCAUUCGUACUCAGUGGCUAGAGGUGAAAUUCUUAGAUUCGCUGAAGACGAACUAAUGCGAAAGCAUUUGCCAAGGAUGUUUUCAUUAAUCAAGAACGAAAGUUAGGGGAUCAAAGACGAUUAGAUACCGUCGUAGUCCUAG